This 556-nucleotide long non-coding RNA is filed under the name Phoenix dactylifera (date palm). RNAcentral's name for it is "long non-coding RNA (PDAC_LNC021751)". Lineage: Eukaryota; Viridiplantae; Streptophyta; Magnoliopsida; Arecales; Arecaceae. The record is from RNAcentral.
AAAAUAAUGCAAACGUCUCGUUAUGCAUGAUUUUAAUCAAAUUCAUGACUCUGAUAUGUUAAGUUGAUGAGGAAUUAGACUUGUUACUACCUAUUCUUCAAUAGCUGGCCAAAGAACAACCGUCUCUCUCCCAGUUGCAUGUCCCCCUCCAGUCAAGGACAGUGUGUGGGGAAAGCACCUUGACUUAGUAAACUCCAAAAUAUACGCCACCUAUGUUACUCUUCCAAUUAGUUACCAGAGUAUGACAAUGGCGGCUUCUUGCCAUUUAAAGCUAUUUUGUUGCCACUAAGAUGGUAGCAUGGUUGGAACGGAACUAAGAUUUCACGAAAAUGACCUAGAUUCGAAAUGCACGGGCGUCGAUUAAAUGUCAGGACCGGAUACCUUCUGUCGAUUUACUCAGUGGAGUCGCCAUCUGGUCCGCUGGUAUCGAGGUGGUGCUGGGUCGACGUACUCAUACGUGGGGCAACCCACGAGUCGGAAAGGAUACGCGGAAACUUGCGACCCACGUCAAAAAUUCUCUGGUGAAAGAGAGGCCUAGUGAAAGCUGUUACGCGGG